This 1190-nucleotide long non-coding RNA is filed under the name Capsicum annuum. RNAcentral describes it as "long non-coding RNA (CANN_LNC003019)". Lineage: Eukaryota; Viridiplantae; Streptophyta; Magnoliopsida; Solanales; Solanaceae. The record is from RNAcentral.
AUCAGAAUAAAAAUGACAGGUAAAACCCUAGAUCAUCGUCGAAUUAGAAUUAUUUUGAUGGAGAAAAAAUGAGCUUGAUCUCUCAAAUACACCAUCAAUUAAAAUGAUCUACACUAGAACUACACUGAAUCUACAUCGAAAACUAAGAUCUACAUCUAAGCCACACCGAAAGUGAAAUAAAAUGGCAGCAAAAAAAAAAAAUACAAUUUGAUCUAAGAAAUAUCAUAGGGGUAAGAUCGGUUGAUAAUGGACCCUAAGAUCAAGCUGGAUCUGAGUUUUGAUACCAUGUUAACAAGCUCAAGGUAUGGCGGAUUGAUCUGAUGGUUCAUAAGAAGCGUCUAAAGAGAAAAAGAAAUAUUAUUGAGAGUGAAAAAUGAAUAACCGUCUUGACAAAAAUAUCUAGGUCUUAUAUUUUUAGAGACCCAGAUCUAUAGAGAAACCAUUAAUUACAGAAUAAGCUGAGCCCAAGAACUAGGUGAUUACAGAAUCAUUAAUUCAACAAAACUUUCAUGCCAAGAGCUAUGUGUUAGCUAGAUUGUAUCAAGCAUAUAUAGAUAAGUUUUACCACUCGUAACUAACUUCUUUUUGUAAGUUUUAAUAAUUAUGUUUUAUAGAAAACAAUUAUGGACUAAAAUGUAUUUAGUGAUCAUUUAUACAAAUGUAAUUAACUUCUUUUUUUUGUCUUUCAGUUACAAUAAUAGAAGGAACAAAAUAAAAAGGAAAGGUAGAGAAAUCAACGACCAUUAUUUUCUCUAACCUCCCCCUUCAUUCUCUUUCAAUUAUUGAUCAAAUACGAUAAUAGCAAUGAAAUCGUCUAUGCAAUUGUGAAACGAAAGGUAUAUUGUUUGACAUUUCAAUUGCGAAAAAGUGGCUUGGGUGAUUUUGAAAAAAGUUAGUUGUGUUCAAUUUUAUGUCCUUUGCUGUAAAUUUUCUGCUUCAUCACAUUUUCAUGUCCGAUUGAAAAUCAAAUUGAGCACAACUAACCUUUUUUUGAAAUCACCAAAAUCACUUUUUUGCAAUUGAAAGUGUUGAACGAUAUACCUUUCGUUUCACAAUUGCAUAGUCGAUUUCAUUGUCAUUAUCAUAUUUGUUCUCAAUAUUUUGUUAGAUAUGAGUACUAAUAAUCAAUACUUGAAAGAGAAUAAAUGGGAGGAUAGAGAAAAUAAUGGGCAUUGAUUUUUCUACCUUCC